GGGGAUGUAGCUCAGUGGUAGAGUGCUUGCUUAGCAAGUAUGAGACCUUGAGUUCAAUUCCCAGGACCUCA
Molecule: transfer RNA, 71 nt
Filed under: Urocitellus parryii (Arctic ground squirrel)
Lineage: Eukaryota; Metazoa; Chordata; Mammalia; Rodentia; Sciuridae
Also listed under: 1 other name
Description: Spermophilus parryii (Arctic ground squirrel) tRNA
Rfam family: tRNA
About the family: Transfer RNA (tRNA) molecules are approximately 80 nucleotides in length. Their secondary structure includes four short double-helical elements and three loops (D, anti-codon, and T loops).
Source: Rfam by way of RNAcentral